UGGCCGGACAAGUCCGUUGGGAAAUCCACCCGCUUAACGGGUGGGCGUCCAGCGGAAACUGUCCGGCUUGGAGCCGGAAGACCUGAGGGGUACGUCCGGGGUAGGAGUGAAAUCCCGUAAUCCUGGACGGACCGCCGGUGGCGAAAGCGCCUCAGGAGGACGGACUCGACAGUGAGGGACGAAAGCCAGGGUCUCGAACCGGAUUAGAUACCCGGGUAGUCCUGGCUGUAAACGAUGUCCGCUAGGUGUGGCGCAGGCUACGAGCCUGCGCUGUGCCGUAGGGAAGCCGUGAAGCGGACCGCCUGGGAA
RNAcentral lists this ribosomal RNA (309 nucleotides) under uncultured archaeon. RNAcentral's name for it is "bacterial SSU rRNA". It matches the Rfam family "Archaeal small subunit ribosomal RNA", at positions 526 to 834 of the family's 1478-position model. The record is from RNAcentral.